This is a non-coding RNA of Synergistes sp. 3_1_syn1, 124 nucleotides long. NCBI's taxonomy places the organism in Bacteria, Thermotogati, Synergistota, Synergistia, Synergistales, Synergistaceae. The record is from Rfam.
AACUGAAUAAUACCCCGAGUCAAAGCUCCUACAGAGAAAAAUAAUUCUCAAUGGAGCACGACCAUUGGGUGUCUUUGGAAACGAAGGUGCCUCCCGUCUGGAAAGGGGAAAGGAGAUCGCGGGC